ACUCCUACGGGAGGCAGCAGCAAGGAAUUUUCGUCAAUGGGGGGAACCCUGAACGAGCAACGCCGCGUGGGCGAAGAAGUCCUUCGGGAUGUAAAGCCCUUUUCUGUGGGAAGAAAGAAAGACGGUACCACAGGAAUAAGCAUCGGCUAACUACGUGCCAGCAGCCGCGGUAAU
Molecule: ribosomal RNA, 174 nt
Filed under: uncultured bacterium
Lineage: Bacteria
Description: partial 16S ribosomal RNA
Rfam family: Bacterial small subunit ribosomal RNA
Source: RNAcentral